This 641-nucleotide ribosomal RNA is filed under the name uncultured bacterium. Its description in RNAcentral is "bacterial SSU rRNA". It matches the Rfam family "Bacterial small subunit ribosomal RNA", at positions 232 to 884 of the family's 1533-position model. The record is from RNAcentral.
CGCGGCCUAUCAGCUUGUUGGUGGGGUAGUGGCCUACCAAGGCGACGACGGGUAGCCGGCCUGAGAGGGCGACCGGCCACACUGGGACUGAGACACGGCCCAGACUCCUACGGGAGGCAGCAGUGGGGAAUAUUGCGCAAUGGGCGAAAGCCUGGCGCAGCGACGCCGCGUGAGGGAUGACGGCCUUCGGGUUGUAAACCUCUUUCAGCAGGGACGAAGCGCGAGUGACGGUACCUGCAGAAGAAGCACCGGCUAACUACGUGCCAGCAGCCGCGGUAAUACGUAGGGUGCGAGCGUUGUCCGGAAUUAUUGGGCGUAAAGAGCUCGUAGGCGGUUUGUCGCGUCGACUGUGAAAACCUACAGCUUAACUGUGGGCUUGCAGUCGAUACGGGCAGACUUGAGUUCGGUAGGGGAGACUGGAAUUCCUGGUGUAGCGGUGAAAUGCGCAGAUAUCAGGAGGAACACCGGUGGCGAAGGCGGGUCUCUGGGCCGAUACUGACGCUGAGGAGCGAAAGCGUGGGGAGCGAACAGGAUUAGAUACCCUGGUAGUCCACGCCGUAAACGGUGGGAACUAGGUGUGGGGGGCUUCCACGUCCUCCGUGCCGUAGCUAACGCAUUAAGUUCCCCGCCUGGGGAGUACG